Non-coding RNA from Ictidomys tridecemlineatus (thirteen-lined ground squirrel), 70 nucleotides. Lineage: Eukaryota; Metazoa; Chordata; Mammalia; Rodentia; Sciuridae. The record is from Rfam.
GUUGUGGUUCAGUGGUAGAGAGCACUUGCUUAGCAUGUGGGAGGCUCUGGGUUCAAUUCUCAGCACAACA